Molecule: ribosomal RNA, 246 nt
Filed under: uncultured Actinomycetales bacterium
Lineage: Bacteria; Bacillati; Actinomycetota; Actinomycetes; Actinomycetales
Description: partial 16S ribosomal RNA
Rfam family: Bacterial small subunit ribosomal RNA
Source: RNAcentral
GGUGCUCGAGUGGCGAACGGGUGAGUAACACGUGAGUAACCUGCCCUUGACUUGGGAUAACUUCAGGAAACUGGGGCUAAUACCGGAUAGGAGCUCCUGCUGCAUGGUGGGGGUUGGAAAGUUUCGGCGGUUGGGGAUGGACUCGCGGCUUAUCAGCUUGUUGGUGGGGUAGUGGCUUACCAAGGCUUUGACGGGUAGCCGGCCUGAGAGGGUGACCGGCCACAUUGGGACUGAGAUACGGCCCAG